GCCUCGAUGGUGGAACAGGUAGACACAGCGGACUUAAAAUCCGCAGACCUUAACCGGUCGUGCCGGUUCGAUUCCGGCUCGAGGCA
This 86-nucleotide transfer RNA is filed under the name Tibeticola sediminis. It matches the Rfam family "tRNA". From Rfam's summary of the family: Transfer RNA (tRNA) molecules are approximately 80 nucleotides in length. Their secondary structure includes four short double-helical elements and three loops (D, anti-codon, and T loops). The record is from Rfam by way of RNAcentral. Lineage: Bacteria; Pseudomonadati; Pseudomonadota; Betaproteobacteria; Burkholderiales; Comamonadaceae.